AACGAACGCUGGCGGCAUGCCUAACACAUGCAAGUCGAACGAUGCUUUCGGGCAUAGUGGCGCACGGGUGCGUAACGCGUGGGAAUCUGCCCUGGGGUUCGGGAUAACAGCGGGAAACUGCUUCUAAUACCGGAUGAUAUCGCGAGAUCAAAGAUUUAUCGCCCUGGGAUGAGCCCGCGUCGGAUUAGGUAGUUGGUGGGGUAAGAGCCUACCAAUCCGACGAUCCGUAGCUGGUCUGAGAGGAUGAGCAGCCACACUGGUACUGAGACACGGCCCAGAAUCCUACGGGAGGGAGGAGUGGGGAAUAUUGGAAAAUGGGGGGAAGGCAGAACCAGCAAGGCCGGGUGAGUGAUGAAGGCAUGAGGGUUGUAAAGCGCUUUUACCCGGGAUGAUAAUGACAGUACCGGAAGAAUAAGCCCCGGCUAACUCCGUG
RNAcentral lists this ribosomal RNA (433 nucleotides) under uncultured bacterium. RNAcentral describes it as "partial 16S ribosomal RNA". It matches the Rfam family "Bacterial small subunit ribosomal RNA", at positions 29 to 507 of the family's 1533-position model. The record is from RNAcentral.